CCUACGGGAGGCAGCAGUGAGGAAUAUUGGUCAAUGGACGAGAGUCUGAACCAGCCAAGUAGCGUGAAGGAUGACUGCCCUAUGGGUUGUAAACUUCUUUUAUAAAGGAAUCAAACGAGGCACGUGUGCCUUUUUGCAUGUACUUUAUGAAUAAGGAUCGGCUAACUCCGUGCCAGCCGCCGCGGUAAUACGGAGGAUGCGAGCGAUAUCCUGAUUUAUUGGGUUUAAAGGGUGCGUAGGCGGACUGUUAAGUCAGCGGUAAAAGCCCGGGGCUCAACCCCGGCGAGCCGUUGAUACUGGCUGUCUUGAGAUGUCGAGAGGUAUGCGGAAUGCGCAGUGUAGCGGUGAAAUGCUUAGAUAUUGCGCAGAACUCCGAUUGCGAAGGCAGCAUACCGGCGGCGAUCUGACGCUGAGGCACGAAAGCGUGGGUAUCGAACAGGAUUAGAUACCCGAGUAGUC
This 459-nucleotide ribosomal RNA is filed under the name uncultured bacterium. RNAcentral describes it as "partial 16S ribosomal RNA". It matches the Rfam family "Bacterial small subunit ribosomal RNA", at positions 338 to 795 of the family's 1533-position model. The record is from RNAcentral.